RNAcentral lists this transfer RNA (71 nucleotides) under Rhipicephalus microplus (southern cattle tick). RNAcentral describes it as "tRNA-Gly". It matches the Rfam family "tRNA". From Rfam's summary of the family: Transfer RNA (tRNA) molecules are approximately 80 nucleotides in length. The record is from Rfam by way of RNAcentral. Lineage: Eukaryota; Metazoa; Arthropoda; Arachnida; Ixodida; Ixodidae.
GCGUCGGUGCUUCAGUGGUAGAAUACUCGCCUGCCACGCGGGUGACCCGGGUUCGAUUCCCGGCCGACACA